Molecule: ribosomal RNA, 1543 nt
Filed under: uncultured marine eukaryote
Lineage: Eukaryota
Description: SSU rRNA
Rfam family: Eukaryotic small subunit ribosomal RNA
Source: RNAcentral
GAUAAGCCAUGCAAAUUUAAAUUUAAGCCGGUUUCGGCGAAAUUGUGGAAGGCUUCGUAUAAGAGGGAUAAAGAAAGAGCGGGGAAAAAUUGACCUGGAUAAUGAAAGGAAACCUUUCAAUAAUACAGUAGUCAUAGGCAGAACUUCUUAGGAAUAGAUCUGUCUAUACAUGCUAGUUUUCUAGCGACCCCUCAUCUGACCCUUACGUAUCACUUUGACUUCAGGGUAAGGACCUGAAGUGAGUACAACGCGUACAGAGAAUUAGGGUUUGAUUCUGGAGAGGGAGCAUGAGAGAUUGCUACCACUUUCAAGAAAGGCAGCAGGUACGCAAAUUGCCCAAUGGGGAAUUCCCGAGGCAGUGAACACCAAUAACAAAGAGAGUCAUCUAAAUGAUUUUCUAUUGGAAUGAGAUAUGAGAAAGACAAAAAGCGAGAAACAAGUGAAGGGCAAGUCUGGUGCCAGCAGCCGCGGUAAUACCAGCUUCACUAGCGUAUGUUAAAGCUGCUGCAGUUAAAACGCUCGUAGUUGUGGUUUUUUCAUUGGGCUUGCAGGGUUGAGAAAUCUUCUCUGCUUGACCUUUGAUUACAAUUUUGGUCACUGGUUAACUCCAAUGGCCAUUAUAAACCUUGAAAAAAUAUUAACGCUCAAAAUUGGACUUACGUCCAAGUUCUUUCUGCAUGGGAUUUUGGAAUAUGAGCGUAAACGAAUAGUUUACGCUAAUGACAUUCGAGGAUGAACGAGGCAGCUCAUACUAUUUCGUCAGAGGUGAAAUUCUUGGAUUGAAGUAUGAUGAACUGAUGCGAAGGCUUUCUGCAAGUGCUUUCCUGUCAAUCAAGAACGAAAGUAAGGGGAUCGAAGACGAUCAGAUACCGUCGUAGUCUUUACUGUAAAUUCUGCCGACAAAGGAAACGGGAAUGAUUUAGAAAGUUGGAGCAAUCUGGCUUUUAAUGUCCUUCUGUUUCUCCCACGAAAGUUCAAGUCUUUGGGUUCUGGGGGGAGUAUGUUCGCAAGGCCGAAACUUAAAGGAAUUGACGGAAGGGCACCACCAGGCGUGGAACCUGCGGCUUAAUUUGACCCAACACGGGGAAACUUACCAGGUCCGAACAGCAAGAGGAUUGACAGAUUGAAAGCUCUUUCAUGAUUUGUUGGGUGGUGGUGCAUGGCCGUUCUUAGUUGGUGGUGCGAGCUGUCUGGUUGAUUCCGUUAACGAACGAGACCUUCGCUGAAUAAUAGAAGGCUGCAGAUAUUGCAUCAAGGGCAAGGUGCACGUAUGAGGUCAUCCUUCGGGACCCUUUUACUCGGUAUCUUGCUUGCUUUUCUGCAGUGCUUCUUCUUUUCAGGACUAUUGGGGAAAACCCAAAGGAAGUUGGAGGCAAAAACAGGUCUGUGAUGCCCUUAGAUGUUCUGGGCUGCACGCGCGUUGCAAUGAUAAAGUCAACAAGUUUCUACUUCCUCGAAAGGGGUGGUUAAUCUCUUAAACUUUAUCGUACCAAGGAUCGCUGAUUGCAACUAUUCGGCGUGAAUUAGGAAUGCCUUGUAAUAC